GAGUUUGAUCAUGGCUCAGAUUGAACGCUGGCGGAAUGCUUUACACAUGCAAGUCGAGCGGCAGCGCGGGGCAACCUGGCGGCGAGCGGCGAACGGGUGAGUAAUGCAUCGGAACGUGUCCAUGUCGUGGGGGAUAGCCCGGCGAAAGCCGGAUUAAUACCGCAUACGCCCGAGAGGGGGAAAGUGGGGGACCGCAAGGCCUCACGCGAUUGGAUCGGCCGAUGUCCGAUUAGCUAGUUGGCGGGGUAAAGGCCCACCAAGGCGAUGAUCGGUAGCUGGUCUGAGAGGAUGAUCAGCCACACUGGGACUGAGACACGGCCCAGACUCCUACGGGAGGCAGCAGUGGGGAAUUUUGGACAAUGGGGGCAACCCUGAUCCAGCCAUUCCGCGUGAGUGAAGAAGGCC
RNAcentral lists this ribosomal RNA (405 nucleotides) under uncultured beta proteobacterium. RNAcentral describes it as "bacterial SSU rRNA". It matches the Rfam family "Bacterial small subunit ribosomal RNA", at positions 9 to 416 of the family's 1533-position model. Lineage: Bacteria; Pseudomonadati; Pseudomonadota; Betaproteobacteria. The record is from RNAcentral.